UUGAAAUACUUGUCAGCAGGAUAUGUGGUGUGAAGUGUUCAGACCAUUACAGGAAGAUUCAGGACGAACUUUAUCAAUAUUUAGGAUUCCAUUUUUGGCACAAUUUUAUUCUCAAAUUACGAGACCCGACAGAGACAUAUUUAAACAUGCUGAUAAAUAUCAAUAUGUCAUAACUUAUUCAGGAUUCCAUUUUUGCACAAUUUUAUUCUCAAAUUACGAGACCUGGUAGAGCCAUAUUUGAGAAUUCUGAAUGUUGAUAAAUAUCAAUUCAUCAUACCCUUGUAAAUAUUAAAUUGAACUGAGUUAUUUUUAUACUGUUUUGACAAAAUGCAAAUGGCACAUCGGAACUGUACUAAUCCUAAUUGAUUUUACUUUCAGGCUUGGAUGUGUGGAGGUCUGUUGGAGAUUUUACCCUGUUCGAGAGUAGGUCACGUGUUCCGCAGCGUUCUACCACACAGCUUCCCUGAUGGGGGACGACAGACGGUUGCUAGAAAUCUACGACGUGUAGCAGAAGUAUGGAUGGAUGAUUACAAAAAUAUAUUUUAUUCUUCUUUGAAUAUAGAUGAAGUAGAAGUAGGUGAUAUACAAGAAAGACAGACUUUACGUACCAGAUUAAAAUGUAAAAGAUUUAAAUGGUAUUUACAGAAUGUUAUACCAGAGUUACCUGUCCCUGACCAAUCAGAUCUGGCAUUCGGAGAGUUUCGUCAUCAGUUGUCUUUACAGUGCCUUACUGUCCAAGCAAAUGGAAGAAUAAUUCUCUCAGCUUGUCAAGGACAGAAAAAUACUCAGGUUUUUAGUUUGACUUCUCAUGGCAACCUUCACCUAUAUAACAGUAGUGAUGACAACAAUAGUUGCAUCCGGACAGACGAUAAGAAAUUAUAUCUAGGUGCAUGUGGUCACCAUAUAUGGAAAUUACAGGGUCAGCAAAUUCAGCAAACGGGAAGUGAAUUAUGUCUUGGAAGUGAAGAUCAUGAAAUUCCUUUACUUUUAACAUGUGACGCUCGACCUGAAUCAACAUGGGAUGUGACUUAUAAAUUUCAUCAUAAAAGAAACAUUGGUAGAUGAUGAAAGAAAUAUUUAUAGAUGGUUCAAAGGAAUAAUGUAUUAAUGAUCUCAUAUGAGACAUAGUCAAGUUUUAAAACGAUGAACAGUGUGACUACGUGGGUUCCCCCAUUUGGCAAAAGAAUUUACCACUAACAAUUCAAUGGGGACCCAUAGCAUGACAUGUUCUAGACAUUUGACGCCAAGUAUAAGAUACAUAACAUUUGUCCUAAUAUUCAGCGCAAGUUUUAAGACAUUACCCAGUGAAAUUGUGAUGGCACAUUCAUCAAUCCAAACGUCACGAUACAUGUUAUUGAAGAUCGGCUUUCUAUUUUUGUUGUGAUAUUUCAAUAUAAUAAACAAACUGAAGUUGAAGUGCUAACCGAUUAGUAUGAUGUAAAACUAUAGUACCAGUAUUAUUUUUAAGAAACAUGGUGAUUUGAUUUGUUAAGAAUUUGUUCUCUGAUAAUAAGAUAUAGAGAAAUAAAUUGUCAUGGUUACUAUUCAAAGAGUGAUCAUCAUUACCAUUAUCGUUCUCAGACAGAAUUAUCUUCGUCAUCAUCACCAUAUUACUUCAUCAUUACAUCAUCAUCAUCAUCAUUUUCAUCAUCGUUAAUCAUCAUCGUUAAUCAUCAUAAUUAUGUUUCCAAGACAUCAUUUUUCCUGGGAUUCAUCGUUAUCAAUAGUCCAUCGUGAAUUUAGAAUAGAAUGUUCGGUUCGUUUCAAAUGAAUAAAAUAUUGUUUCAAUUAAAAUUAAAAUCAAUCAGGAAUCAUUAUCAAGGUUUAUGGUUUUAUUAUCAAAAUCAGCAUCAAUCAUCGAUAUUAUUUCCCUGCAUCAUUGUCACAAUCCCUUAUAUCUUUAUCAUUAUCAUCUGCGUUUAUAAUCCAUCUUGAAAAUCAUCAUCAUGAAUGUUUCUAUAUAUCAGCAUCACCAUUAAUUAUCAUUUCCCUGAGGACAUCAUUGUCACAAUCCCAGACAUAUCAUCACCAUCAUCAUCAUCAUAACUAUUAUUGUCAUCAUUUUUUGCCAUGUGUCAUUAUCAUCUAUUGUUUUACCGUUUCAUUUUGUUAUCACCCCCUUACAUUAAGCACAUUUUUACCCUUUCAUUUGUUGGUGAAUAUUAUCUCCCCUUUCCGUCCUAAGAUUAAUCAAUAUAUUUUACUAUUUGUCUUUCCUAUCUCUCUUUUCCAUCAUGGUCUUGAUUUUCUUUUACAGUAGUUGUAGGUUGCAUUUUCAUUCACACUCUCCAUUGUAAACAUGUAGUCCUUCUAAUCUCCUCUAAUUAUCCAUGUUCAUUUUCAUCCUUUUCAGAUUCCAUUUUCAUUUUUCCCAUUCAUCCAUUUUCAUUCCAUAAUUCCAUAACUCUUCAUUAUUCCACCUUUUUAUGUGCCAAUUAUUCCUGUUCAUUUCCCACUUCCACUUUCCUCAUUCAUUCCACUCAUUUUCAUUUUUCCCUCCCCAAUCCGUUUCUCGCAUUGUAUCGCUUGUCUCAUCAAAUCAUUCCCUUUCAUCUGCCCCAUUAUUCGUUUCAUAUUCCCGUUUUCAACCCCCAACAAUUCAUUACAAACCAACCCCCCUCCCCAACACACACACACACAUAAACACCCUUUCAUCUUCAUCACAACCCCCACCCCCUCCCCAACACACACACACCCUUUCAUCUCCCUUUCAUUUUCCCCAUGUUAUCCCUCCGUUACACCAUGGUAUUUAACAUUGAAGCAAUAAAUUCAUGAACAGGGUAAUAUAAUUUACUUUUUAUAAGAAAAAGAAAGUUCUUUCAUAUUUUUAUAACUUGAUGUGUUUAUUGUUUAUUUAUAUAAUUAUUACUGUCAUAUCAGCAUAAUUUAUUGUAUAAUAUUGUCUGUUCUAUAUUAUUGUCUUUGUUUUUAAAUUGUUGUUGUCGACCAUAGGUCAUCGUAUCCCAUUCUUUAUCAGUCUUUAUUAAAAUCACUUCAGAUCAGGGUAGGGUCUGGGGCAUUCACUAUUCAAGCUGUCCUAAGACAGGUGUCAAUUAACCACAGAACAACGUUCGGAUACAAGAAGACCACAGUGGCUUCACUAUAAUCAUUGCUGGAUUAUUUAUAAAAAAUUCUAUAUUUGUAACAACGUUUCGAAGAUUAUUCUCUCGUCUUUAUCUAGCAAAUAAUAAUAUAUUAUAUAAUUUGAACAAGCUAAAUAAUUAUUGUGCACUGAAUAAUGUUUAUGAAUUAACAAUGUGUUAAUAAAGCAGCAAUUGUUAUUACAUAAAUAGUUUAUAUUGUGUUACUGUUCAAUUACCAAAUGCCACUCAAAACAAUACUUCAACUUUCAUGUUUAGGAAUAUUAUACCCCUGUUUCAUCAGCCCCCACCCUCCCCUCGCCUGCCCCAUCUGGAUGAGUCCCAAACAAUAUAUAACAUAAACAUCUAAUAUAUCAUAUAUCCAAAACAUCUAUAGAAACCAGGAAAGUAAUUCUGUUUUAUGUAUUUUGUAAAUAUUAUUUGUAUUAAAAUGACUUGGUCAGUUUGUUGUUGUGUAUUUUGGAUUGUAUAUGUAUAUAUUACUGGAGUUAUUAUAAUAUUAUUCAUAUAUGACAAUAUAAUUGUAAACUCAUGAAUAAAAACA
Patella vulgata (common limpet) is the source of this 3645-nucleotide long non-coding RNA. RefSeq lists it as uncharacterized. Lineage: Eukaryota; Metazoa; Mollusca; Gastropoda; Patellidae. The record is from RefSeq and is a predicted model, not a curated record. The transcript has 5 exons.